Molecule: long non-coding RNA, 214 nt
Filed under: Capsicum annuum
Lineage: Eukaryota; Viridiplantae; Streptophyta; Magnoliopsida; Solanales; Solanaceae
Description: long non-coding RNA (CANN_LNC019288)
Source: RNAcentral
CCGAUGAGAACAAUGACAUGAAGGAAGUAAAUAUUGUCUUGACUAUGCAAAAUCCUAAAAACCAAACACUACUUCCUCCACUUCAAUACCACACAGCCAUAUAUCAAGCACCUUCAUUCCCCACAACGACAUACAAUUACCCCAUACUAUCUUAUAAUCCUACCAACUAUCUCGCACAACCUGCGUACUUUCAAAUUCCUCCAACUACUUCCCA